GAAGAAAAUGACUGUACCCGAAUAAGAAGGUCCGGCUAACUUCGUGCCAGCAGCCGCGGUAAUACGAAGGGACCUAGCGUAGUUCGGAAUUACUGGGCUUAAAGAGUUCGUAGGUGGUUAAAAAAGUUGGUGGUGAAAUCCCAGAGCUUAACUCUGGAACUGCCAUCAAAACUUUUUAGCUAGAGUAUGAUAGAGGAAAGCAGAAUUUCUAGUGUAGAGGUGAAAUUCGUAGAUAUUAGAAAGAAUACCAAUUGCGAAGGCAGCUUUCUGGAUCAUUACUGACACUGAGGAACGAAAGCAUGGGUAGCGAAGAGGAUUAGAUACCCUCGUAGUCCAUGCCGUAAACGAUGUGUGUUAGACGUUGGAAAUUUAUUUUCAGUGUCGCAGCGAAAGCAAUAAACACACCGCCUGGGGAGUACGACCGCAAGGUUA
RNAcentral lists this ribosomal RNA (432 nucleotides) under uncultured Alphaproteobacteria bacterium. RNAcentral describes it as "bacterial SSU rRNA". It matches the Rfam family "Bacterial small subunit ribosomal RNA", at positions 462 to 896 of the family's 1533-position model. The record is from RNAcentral. Lineage: Bacteria; Pseudomonadati; Pseudomonadota; Alphaproteobacteria.